AUUUGGAGAGGAUGCUUUUGGCGCGGCGCCGUCCGAGUUCCUUGGAACAGGACGCCACAGAGGGUGAGAGCCCCGUACGGACGGACGCCUAGCCUCUACAAAGCUCCUUCGACGAGUCGAGUAGUUUGGGAAUGCUGCUCAAAAUGGGAGGUAAAUUUCUUCUAAAGCUAAAUACCGGCCAGAGACCGAUAGCGCACAAGUAGAGUGAUCGAAAGAUGAAAAGCACUUUGAAAAGAGGGUUAAAAAGUACGUGAAAUUGUUGAAAGGGAAGCGCCUGUGACCAGACUUGCGCCCCGUGGACCAUCCGGCGUUCUCGCCGGUGCACUCUGCGGGGCGCAGGCCAGCAUCGGUUCUCCUAGGGGGAUAAAGGCCGCGGGAACGUAGCUCCUUCGGGAGUGUUAUAGCCCGCGGUGGCAUGCCCCUGGGGGGACCGAGGACCGCGCUUCGGCAAGGAUGCUGGCGUAAUGGUCACCAGCGACCCGUCUUGAAACACGGACCAAGGAGUCAAGCAUUGGGGCGAGUGUAUGGGUGCCAAACCCGCACGCGAAAUGAAAGUAAACGCAGGUGAGAGCUUCGGCGCAUCAUCGACCGAUCCUGAUGUCUUCGGAUGGAUUUGAGUAAGAGCCUUACCGCUUGGACCCGAAAGAUGGUGAACUAUGCCUGAAUAGGGUGAAGCCAGAGGAAACUCUGGUGGAGG
Molecule: ribosomal RNA, 697 nt
Filed under: Sporothrix abietina
Lineage: Eukaryota; Fungi; Ascomycota; Sordariomycetes; Ophiostomatales; Ophiostomataceae
Also listed under: 2 other names
Description: eukaryotic LSU rRNA
Rfam family: Eukaryotic large subunit ribosomal RNA
Source: RNAcentral